Molecule: non-coding RNA, 76 nt
Organism: Podarcis lilfordi (Lilford's wall lizard)
Lineage: Eukaryota; Metazoa; Chordata; Lepidosauria; Squamata; Lacertidae
Source: the annotation of a GenBank genome assembly
GCAUAUAACCCUUAAAUACCUCAGUUGGUAGAGCAUGAGACUCUCAGGGUUGUGGUUUCAAGUCCCACAUUGUGCA